AAAUUAAAUUAUUUCUAAUUUUUAUUUAUUUAUAAGUUUAAAUUAUAUAUAUGUUUUUUUUGUUUUAAAAAAUUUAAUAUUUAAAUAAUUAAUUUAAUUUAUAAAAUUUUAAUAAUUAAUUUUUAUUUUAAAUUAAAUAAAUUUAAAAUAAGUAAUAUUUUAAUAAUUAUUAAUUAAAAUUGUGCCAGCAAUUGCGGUUAUACAAUUAAUAAAAAAUAAAUAUUUUUAAAUAUAAUUUAAAAUGUCAAAUAAUAAAUUUAAAAAAUUAAAUUUAAUUAGUAAAAUAAUAAAAUUUAUAAUAAAAAUUAAUUUAUUUAAGUUAAUAUUUUAAAAUUAAAAAAUUUUUUUAAGACUAGGAUUAGAUACCCUAUUAUAUAAAUUAAUAAUAAAUUAAAUUUAAUUAGUAAAAUUAUUGAAAAUUAAAGAAUUUGACGGUAUUUAAAUCAUUUUAGAGGAAUUUGUAUAAUAAUUGAUAAUCCACAAUUUAUUAAACUUAUUUUUAAAAUUUUGUAUAUCGUUGUUAUAAAAAUAUUUUUUAUAAAUUUAUUAAUAUUUAAAAUUUUAAAUUUAAAAUUAUAUCAAAUCAUGAUACAAAUUAUAUAAAUAAGAAAAAUAUGAAUUACAAUAAUAAUUUAAUAAUUAUAAUUUUUUUUAUGAAAUAAAAAAAUUUAAAUUGGAUUUAAUUGUAAUUAAAAACAUUUAUUUUUAAUGAUUAAAGUUUUUAAAUAUGUACAUAUUGCCCGUCGCUCUUAUUAUAUUAUAAAAUUAAUUAAGAUAAGUCGUAACAAAGUAGAAAUAUUGGAAAAUGUUUCUAGAAUUAUA
RNAcentral lists this non-coding RNA (822 nucleotides) under Cheumatopsyche campyla. RNAcentral also lists the same sequence under 1 other name. Lineage: Eukaryota; Metazoa; Arthropoda; Insecta; Trichoptera; Hydropsychidae. The record is from RNAcentral.